GAACAACAAAUACUAUUUAUAGUAGGGGUGUGCCGAUCGAUUGGCCACUGAUCAUAAUCGGCCUAUUUCCGUGAAAAAGUGUAUGAUAGGUGAUCGCCGAUCACGGUGUCUUGUUGCCGAU
This is a long non-coding RNA of Poecilia latipinna (sailfin molly), 121 nucleotides long. RefSeq lists it as uncharacterized. Lineage: Eukaryota; Metazoa; Chordata; Actinopteri; Cyprinodontiformes; Poeciliidae. The transcript is spliced from 3 exons. The record is from RefSeq and is a predicted model, not a curated record.